UCCCAAAACAAUAUUGACAAGUCUCCAUCAUCUCUUUCCCCAAAACAACAACAAUAAUGACCUCCUUUCUCCCUUCUCCUCUUUUACUUCUAUCCAUCAUACCCAAAUCAAAAGACCUAAAUCUGCUGCGUCACCACCAUAGCUGCACCUCCUCUGCCAAGAUUCUCUCAUUUUUAACCAUCCAAGCCCGUGAAUUCGUAAGAAUAAAAGAAAAAAGACCCAAUUCGAUGUUUGAUGUCAAUUUUGUCAUUAAUGGCCUAGAAAAAGAAGAGAUUUGUUGCAGAAUUUCGUAUUAUUUUUUAAACCAAGUCUUCUUCUCAUCACUCUUGCUUAAAUCAAGUUUCAAAUUCAAACUUUCAAGUUAGAAUUUCACCUAUAAAUAUGGAUAUUCUUCCCCUAUUAGAGGAGAGGUUUUGAAAGACAAAAAAGGGGGAAGAAGCGAAAAACAAGUCUUGAGAAACGAAAUUGUGAAAAAAGGGCGGAUAAUUUUUGAGAGAAAAUAAAGGUUCAAGAUUAAGGUGAAAAAUAUAUGAAAAUGACCUUGAAAGGUUAGGAUUUCAAAAAAAAAAAAAAGACAGAGAAAACAGAAGCAAAACACAAGAGAAUUAAAAGAAAAGAGAGAAAACAGCCUGUUCCGAAAAUCUUAGCAAGGUCUAGUAUUGCAAUAGCUGAUUUUCUUUUCAGUUUGGUGUUAAAGUUGGUGGUUUCGAUUUGAGUUCGAAGUCGAUGGAAUCUUGACAUGAAAGUCCCGGCUUUGCUGCACCAAAAAAGGUGCGAAUCUAUUUUCAUCUCUUUUUUCCCUCAUCUGUUUGGUCUCAGCGAUCUAUGAUCUUUUGAUUUAUAAGCAUAUUUUGUUCUUGUCCUUUUUUGGUAAAUAUGAAUUUUAGUCCAAAAAUAAAAAAUAUUUUCAUACGUGAACAUCUAGAUCUGUAAAUAUGUGUGUUUACUUCACUGGGGUGCUGCUAGUCGUUUUUAUUUACUCAUUAUUUAUUUAGACAAGAGUUACUAUCCCUUACAUGCUAUAUUUUGUGAUUUAUUCCCACUGACGGAAAGCAAGAUUACAUGAUAAUCAUCAUUUGUUUUCCCGUUCGGAUGUGUUUUGUGAAUACGGUAUCCCAUCGACAUUGUUGUUGUUAUUUUGGUGUUAUGAAUAAGAGCAUGAUAAUAUUUUAUUUGGUGUAUACAUAUCAAAAUAUGGCUAAACAAUUAUUGUUUCUUUAUAUCCAAGUCGAAUUCGUGAGUGCGUUCUAUUUACGGAAUUGAGAUAUGUGUGGUUAUUUUUUGGAUAAUUGAUAUGUGCGUCACUGUCUAUCCUUUACAAAUCAAAGUUUUAAGGGAGCAAUUCUAUUUUGGCAUCAGAAGUAUAUGAAAGAAAAAGGCCAAAUAGUUGCUCACUUUACUUUUUGUAUUAAAAAGGGUGUCGUUUCUUUCUUUUUCAUCAAUUAUAUUUGAAGCCUUAUGGAAUUUUCAAAGGAAAAGUGUUUAAAGAAAGUUUUCAUAAAUGAAAAAAUGUUGAAUACACUUUUUCAAAGGAAAUGUGUUUUAAAGUAAGUUUUCAUAAAUGAAAAAAUGUUGAAUAGUUUUGCACGAUAAACUGGUGAAUUUUUUAUUUGAAAUAUUUUACUAGUGAUGAUUAUGCUUGAUCAAAAUACUAUUAUAUUGUUAUAAAAUGUUAAAUUAUAAGGAAAAAGUGUUUUAUUGAAGUUAUGCUAUGAAGUGUUUUAAAAAGAGAAUAUUUUAUUUGAUUCAAACUCACUAUAUGUUUACUAUUGUGGGGAAGAAGAUUGAAUGUUUAAGUAACUAAAGACAAAAAGAAAAGAUAUUUUAGGAUCCUAAUUUUCCUUUUGUUUACUCUAUUAUUUUUGCUGGUAGUUUAUGGUAACAUUAUUUGCCUUAAUUGGGCUCAAAAUGUGUUGUGGCAAUUUAUUUGUAGGAUUAGUAACUAAGACUUCAGUAUCAUUUCUUAAAACAAAUGCAUGCGUGACACCUCCUGUUACUCUACAUAAUCCUUAACAUGCAUUGUAGCUAUGUUUGCUCCUUAACUGUGUGUGCCAUGUGACUCAAAUUAUUCAAGUAUUUUGUUAUUUGGUUCGCUUUAUCGAGUAUAGUUUUAACCCUUACUAAUCCUUAUCCUUUUAUUUUACAUGUACUCGGGAGUUGUGGUUCCGCAUUGAAACUCGUUUUGACCCAAUUGGGGUUAAUCGCUACUAGGAGUACAGAGCCUCGGAGUCCUACAGAUUAGGAGCCUAAAUUCCCCAAAUGGGAUUUUUAUAUUCCUUUUCCUCUUUAGAUUUAAUUUACAUUCGGCAUAUUGAUUCUUUCGUUACAACUAACUCUCAUUGUCAAUUUUGCUUAAGGUAGUUUUAUUUGAUUGUUUGGAUUAUUUUUCUGUACUACUUGUUGACCUUACGUGUUUUUUUUUACAUUUCAUUUCUCGCAAAUAUCAUAUGAUUAUCAUCAAAUGAAAAAUACACCUUGAUCACAUUCGGAUAACUCUUUUAAAAAUC
RNAcentral lists this long non-coding RNA (2507 nucleotides) under Capsicum annuum. RNAcentral describes it as "long non-coding RNA (CANN_LNC014809)". Lineage: Eukaryota; Viridiplantae; Streptophyta; Magnoliopsida; Solanales; Solanaceae. The record is from RNAcentral.